CUGGACGCGCGGCCCCGCGGCGCCAUUUCCGCUUCAACCACUCGUGAACGCGAGCGCAGGCGCGCCGGAGGAAACGGAGGCUGCGCUUGCAAACCUCGCAAGAAGCUCGCCCUUGUCGUCUCCCAGCGGGCUUCUUAGCUCCCAGCUUGUUUGAUGGGGGUGCCUCUUUUUCUUUCCAGGUAUAGCUGUCCAGCGACACCAUCAUGCAUUCAUUUCUCCAACAAACAUUUUCAUGGGCUCUUGCUCUAUACUGGGGAUGUAGUGGUAAAUGAAAUGGACGAGGCCCUGCCCUCGUGGAACUUACAGUCUGGCAAAGGAAACAGACAAUAAAAUUCUCAGUUGUCUAAGGAGGCAGAGAUGCAUGGGGAGAGGAUCAGAGUAGGGAUGCGGAAGCAGCGAGUGGUCAGGAGUGUGCGUGCCAAAAGGCAGGAGACCUGUGGGACGUGGGGGCAGCUGGGGCCGGAACUUGCGCUGGAGGAACACCCCUUGCCUGCUGGGGCGAGAAGAGGACCCUUUCCUUGGGUGAAAUUCCCCAUAUUGUUAAAAGGACAAUUAAAGAAAUGAAAGAGAGGUCACCUGGGUGAAUAGGCAACUUAGAUGGGCCUCCCUGUGUUCCUGUCAUGCCUCCAAUUCUGCGUCCAGGUGUCCGGAACACAUUUUUUUCUGCCUUUGAAACCUUCCAGUACCUCUGGCAGAGAUAUACCAUACCCUCCUUGUUACCUGCGUGCGGAAUCUUAACUCAUCGUUGUGCUACAUCUGCACCUUCUGCCUUUGUGCCUUGUUUUGUGUUUUCCCUCCUCCGGGGAGAAUAUAAUAAACUUAGCUGAGUCCGUUCUACA
Molecule: long non-coding RNA, 839 nt
Filed under: Homo sapiens (human)
Lineage: Eukaryota; Metazoa; Chordata; Mammalia; Primates; Hominidae
Description: HSALNT0309013
Source: RNAcentral